RNAcentral lists this ribosomal RNA (253 nucleotides) under uncultured bacterium. RNAcentral's name for it is "partial 16S ribosomal RNA". It matches the Rfam family "Bacterial small subunit ribosomal RNA", at positions 524 to 776 of the family's 1533-position model. The record is from RNAcentral.
UACGUAGGGGGCUAGCGUUGUCCGGAAUCAUUGGGCGUAAAGAGCGCGUAGGCGGCUAGAUAAGUCCGGUGUGAAAGUCACAGGCUCAACCUGUGAAUGCCGCUGGAAACUGUCUGGCUAGAGUCCGGAAGGGGCGAGUGGAAUUCCUGGUGUAGCGGUGAAAUGCGCAGAUAUCAGGAGGAACACCGGUGGCGAAGGCGGCUCUCUGGGACGGUACUGACGCUGAGACGCGAAAGCGUGGGGAGCGAACAGG